Molecule: ribosomal RNA, 349 nt
Filed under: uncultured bacterium
Lineage: Bacteria
Description: partial 16S ribosomal RNA
Rfam family: Bacterial small subunit ribosomal RNA
Source: RNAcentral
CCUACGGGUGACUGCAGUGAGGAAUAUUGGUCAAUGGGCGCAAGCCUGAACCAGCAAAGUCGCGUGAGGGAAGACGGCCCUACGGGUUGUAAACCUCUUUUGCCGGGGAGAAAGCCGGAGCACGUGUGCCCAGGCGGAGAGCACCCGGAGAAAAAGCAGCGGCUAACUCCGUGCCAGCAGCCGCGGUAAUAAGGAGGAUGCGAGCGUUAUCGGGAUUGAUUGGGUUUACAGGGGGCGCAGGCGGGCUGUUAAGCCGGCGGUAAAACUUCAGGGCUCCACCCUGUCGCGCCGUCGGAACUGGCAGUCUUGAGUGGGCGAGACGUAUGCGGACUUCGUGGUGUAGCGGUGA